AUGUGGUACACAAAAGAUGACAGAAAAAGCAACCCAGCCGCUCCCUUCAUCAGACAGCAGUGGUGGCAGAGUCACUCACAGCAGCAGGUGAACUUGAACUUGACUACAGACUCCCUGAGGAGAGAAGUUGUCGUCCUUUUCUUCAACUUCUGGGCAGUCAAAUGGACGGUUGGGUCCUCUUCCCAGGCAAAAGUGGAGUUCAUUUUCAGCAUCACUGGGAAGGACCAGUCACCCAAGUGGAGGCCACCUACUCUGCUGGGAUGUGGACUCUCUCCCUCUCCUCGUGUGGAGCCCACCUACUCUGCUGGGAUGUGGACUCUCUCCCUCUCCUCGUGUGGAGCCCACCUACUCUGCUGGGAUGUGGACUCUCUCUCCCUCUCCUCGCGUGAACCCUUUUCUUUUCAUGGCUGCAGCCUGCGGGGUUAACAGACUGCCUAAUCCAUUAUCGCUACAGGC
This is a long non-coding RNA of Alosa sapidissima (American shad), 456 nucleotides long. RefSeq lists it as uncharacterized. The transcript is spliced from 3 exons. NCBI's taxonomy places the organism in Eukaryota, Metazoa, Chordata, Actinopteri, Clupeiformes, Clupeidae. The record is from RefSeq and is a predicted model, not a curated record.